AACGAACGCUGGCGGCAGGCCUAACACAUGCAAGUCGAACGUGAAGCCACCUUCGGGUGGUGGAAAGUGGCAGACGGGUGAGUAACGCGUGGGAACGUGCCCUUCGGUUCGGGAUAACCCAGGGAAACUUGGGCUAAUACCGGAUACGCCCUUCGGGGGAAAGAUUCAUUGCCGAAGGAUCGGCCCGCGUCGGAUUAGCUGGUUGGUGGGGUAAUGGCCCACCAAGGCGACGAUCCGUAGCUGGUCUGAGAGGAUGACCAGCCACACUGGGACUGAGACACGGCCCAGACUCCUACGGGAGGCAGCAGUGGGGAAUAUUGGACAAUGGGCGCAAGCCUGAUCCAGCCAUGCCGCGUGGGUGAAGAAGGCCUUAGGGUUGUAAACCCCUUUCAGCGGGGAAGAUAAUGACGGUACCCGCAGAAGAAGUCCCGGCUAACUCCGUGCCAGCCGCCGCCGUAA
This 459-nucleotide ribosomal RNA is filed under the name uncultured bacterium. RNAcentral's name for it is "partial 16S ribosomal RNA". It matches the Rfam family "Bacterial small subunit ribosomal RNA", at positions 29 to 523 of the family's 1533-position model. The record is from RNAcentral.